Molecule: non-coding RNA, 574 nt
Organism: Clupea harengus (Atlantic herring)
Lineage: Eukaryota; Metazoa; Chordata; Actinopteri; Clupeiformes; Clupeidae
Source: the annotation of a RefSeq genome assembly
GCUUUUUUCCCUGUGACAUGACCAGCUGUGUGCAUAGAUGCAAAGAUGCUACUGAAUGUUUGCCUAUUUAAACUGCAGCAGUCAGACAGUCAGCUAUUUCCACACAGAGGUAGAGAAGAGCAGGUUUGAUUUAGAUCCUCCCUGUUCCACUCCAGUACCAGCCAUGCUGCCUGUAGUCCUGCUGCUGAUACUGUUGAGAUCUGCAACCUUGGUCAGAGGUCAGAUUGUGCUCACACAGUCUCAACAGCCAGUGAUGGAGAGUCCAGGAGGAACUCUCAAACUGACUUGUGCCUGCAGUGGAUUUAGUGUGGGGGACUAUGGCAUGCACUGGGUCCGCCAAGCUCCAGGGAAAGGACUGGAAUGGAUUAUUUACUACUAUACUGACAGUUACAAGAACACAGCCCAGACAGUCCAAGGCAGAUUCACUGCAUCCAAGGACAGCUCUAAACUCUACCUGCAUAUGACCCAGUUGAAGUCUGAGGACACUGCAGUCUAUUACUGUGCUAGAGAUUCACAGUGGUUAAACCAAUACAACCAGCCACACAAAAACCCUUCAUGACAGACAGACAACAGA